UUGUUUUCUCUAACGUUUUCUUUCUUUCUAUUUUCGUUUUUCUUUCCCUUUCCUUUCAUUUGUUACCAUCUUCCUUUGUUGUCGUCUCUUGCUAAUGUUUCUUCAUUGCCACCUUAUCUUUGUCGUGUCGCCAUCUAGAUUGCAUUUUCCCCAUUAAAUUCUGUUGAUUUAAUUAUGGUUGCGAUUCUGCUAGGGGUGGAUCGUGAGGCUAUACACUUCCGGCGAGUUGAGGAUUUUGGCAAUUUCUUUUCUCUUCAAGGGUAAGUUUUCAAAACAUAAAUUUAGGAGCUGGUUUGCAAUGAUUUAGCUUACGAAGGUCGAAUGCCUUCUAUUAAUGGCCGAAUGUUUUAGGAAGUUUAGGUUGAAUCAUUGUAAGUGGUUGUUAAUUGAUUGUUUGUGGAUGUCUUAUGUACAGAAUUUGGUGUGUUGCUGUUCUAUCGACAUCUCGGAAGUAAUCAGGUGUGUGACCCAAACUCAAAAACUCGUAAAACUGUGCGAAAUCGAUUCUGCCAGUCGAUGUCACACGACUGUGCAAGCCACAUGGGCAUGUUGGUCAUGUAUCCAGCCGUGUGGGUCACACGGGCCUAAUAGGUUGGGGCGUGUGGGCCACACAGACAUAUAAGCCCACCUCGGGCAGACUUGUUCGAAUAUAGGUUUUGGAAUAACAAUCUUUUUGUAUCUAAAAAAAUGGUUAUGAAGUAAUAGUCUGGUAUGUUAGUGUUGUAAGUAUAAUUUAUGAAAAUAUGCUAAGUUUUGUAAAUCUGAUCUAUAAAUCCAUACUUAUUGUUGGCAUGUUUUUGUUCUACUAUGUUCAUAUAUGAGCG
RNAcentral lists this long non-coding RNA (824 nucleotides) under Gossypium barbadense (sea-island cotton). RNAcentral describes it as "long non-coding RNA (GBAR_LNC009803)". The record is from RNAcentral. Lineage: Eukaryota; Viridiplantae; Streptophyta; Magnoliopsida; Malvales; Malvaceae.